This 497-nucleotide ribosomal RNA is filed under the name uncultured bacterium. RNAcentral's name for it is "partial 16S ribosomal RNA". It matches the Rfam family "Bacterial small subunit ribosomal RNA", at positions 28 to 507 of the family's 1533-position model. The record is from RNAcentral.
GAUGAACGCUGGCGGCGUGCCUAAUACAUGCAAGUCGAGCGAACGGACGAGAAGCUUGCUUCUCUGAUGUUAGCGGCGGACGGGUGAGUAACACGUGGAUAACCUACCUAUAAGACUGGGAUAACUUCGGGAAACCGGAGCUAAUACCGGAUAUUAUUUUGAACCGCAUGGUUCAAAAGUGAAAGACGGUCUUGCUGUCACUUAUAGAUGGAUCCGCGCUGCAUUAGCUAGUUGGUAGGGUAACGGCUUACCAAGGCAACGAUGCAUAGCCGACCUGAGAGGGUGAUCGGCCACACUGGAACUGAGACACGGUCCAGACUCCUACGGGAGGCAGCAGUAGGGAAUCUUCCGCAAUGGGCGAAAGCCUGACGGAGCAACGCCGCGUGAGUGAUGAAGGUCUUCGGAUCGUAAAACUCUGUUAUUAGGGAAGAACAUAUGUGUAAGUAACUGUGCACAUCUUGACGGUACCUAAUCAGAAAGCCACGGCUAACUACGUG